Molecule: unclassified non-coding RNA, 302 nt
Filed under: Hevea brasiliensis (rubber tree)
Lineage: Eukaryota; Viridiplantae; Streptophyta; Magnoliopsida; Malpighiales; Euphorbiaceae
Source: RNAcentral
AACGGAUCCGACUAGGAGCUAUGGAAUAUUUCGGCUUACUGACCCUGGCGGCAUGACUGUCCUGAAACACUGCAAAGAGAAGGGAUUCCACCCCCACCAAGAAACCGCUGAUGGUACUCCGAUUUUCGAGAGUUGCUCCAAUGUUUACAUCAAUCCAAACUUGAGGUUCGAGAUUAUUGAUUUACGCACUUCUUCCUCGUGAAUAUAGUUACGACUUCAGCAUAAGAUGUACAUACAUAAAUGGAUAUAGACAGAAGCAUAAUAAGGUGUUAACGCAAGCUACAUAAAUGCAUAUAGACAAA